UGCAGUCGAACGAUGAUCCCAGCUUGCUGGGGGAUUAGUGGCGAACGGGUGAGUAACACGUGAGUAACCUGCCCUUGACUCUGGGAUAAGCCUGGGAAACUGGGUCUAAUACCGGAUAUGACUCCUCAUCGCAUGGUGGGGGGUGGAAAGCUUUUGUGGUUUUGGAUGGACUCGCGGCCUAUCAGCUUGUUGGUGGGGUAAUGGCCUACCAAGGCGACGACGGGUAGCCGGCCUGAGAGGGUGACCGGCCACACUGGGACUGAGACACGGCCCAGACUCCUACGGGAGGCAGCAGUGGGGAAUAUUGCACAAUGGGCGCAAGCCUGAUGCAGCGACGCCGCGUGAGGGAUGACGGCCUUCGGGUUGUAAACCUCUUUCAGUAGGGAAGAAGCGUAAGUGACGGUACCUGCAGAAGAAGCGCCGGCUAACUACGUGCCAGCAGCCGCGGUAAUACGUAGGGCGCAAGCGUUAUCCGGAAUUAUUGGGCGUAAAGAGCUCGUAGGCGGUUUGUCGCGUCUGCUGUGAAAGACCGGGGCUCAACUCC
This 544-nucleotide ribosomal RNA is filed under the name Paenarthrobacter sp. RNAcentral describes it as "bacterial SSU rRNA". It matches the Rfam family "Bacterial small subunit ribosomal RNA", at positions 56 to 616 of the family's 1533-position model. The record is from RNAcentral. Lineage: Bacteria; Bacillati; Actinomycetota; Actinomycetes; Micrococcales; Micrococcaceae.